Molecule: long non-coding RNA, 1102 nt
Organism: Leopardus geoffroyi (Geoffroy's cat)
Lineage: Eukaryota; Metazoa; Chordata; Mammalia; Carnivora; Felidae
Exons: 2
Source: RefSeq, a predicted model, not a curated record
CUUCCCCUUCUCCUCCCUCUCCACCCUCUCCUCCUUCCUUCAGCUAUUGGCUUAGUAUCUGCUGUGCAGCAAACACAGAGUAUAUACUGCUGAAUAUAUUAGACAUCCCUUCUGUUUCCUGGAGUUUACAAUAAGAAGAGACAAACGAUCAAUUUCUGCCAGUAAGUUUGCUGGGUCAAAGUUGCUGGCAUCUGAAUGUUGAUUCCUAUGCUCAGAGGGCCAUGGGAGAAGUUGACAACAUAGAACCCCAUAACAAGAGCCUGCCCUGUGUUGACCCCAGGCAGAAGGGAGAAGACGGCACGGAUUGAAGCUGAAAGAUGAAAAAAGGAAGAUGAAAAAAGGAAAGAUGAAAAAAGGAAGUGCCCUUUUGACUCAGUGGCCCUUCUUCCGCACUCCCGAAAACAUCUCGAACAAGUUUUCCCUUCAAGACCAGCUUCACCCAGAGUUGUCACCAUUGAAAGAAGUCCACUCUAUAGCCCCCAAAUGUCCCAGAUUUCAUAAUUAAUGAGAAGAGACUGCCGAGAGAGACAAAGGUGGCGGAGAGGUAGGCAAGACACUUGCCCGUGUGUGCAUGUGAGCAGGGAGAGGGUCAUGGGAGGGAUGAGGUUAAAAUGGGAAGUCAAGAGGGGAGAAGUCAGGACAGGGACUUGGGGGUGUGAGACCGAGCAACCACUGGUCAGACAGGAUUUAGUCCUUUUUGUGUGUGAAAUCGUUCAUUUCAUUUCAAGCAACAGUCACAAUCACCUCUCAAACAACCACCCUUUUAUUCGGCUCAUACUAUUUGCACCGAAAAAGAAAUCUGGAAAGAUCCACCCUGAGCAUAAUGAUUUCCUUCUGGAGGGUGGAACUGGAGGGGCAAGGGUAAACUAUCUUACGUUGUAUAGUUUUGAAAGUAUCUUCUGAAGCAUCCGAACAUUUAUUUUGAAUUUUAUGGUUUCUACAUAUCAAAAUAAAUGUGUGCUGGUUGAAUCAGUGGAAUUUUAGAUGGUGGGUUUUUUCUAAGUCUACCACAGGGACACUUUGUGUUGGAAAGAAGAGGAAUACAGACGCAAAGAAUCGCUUUUGUUGAAAAGAUCAGGAAUAAAAAUAAGUCAGCGAGGUA